UCGGACUUUACACUCAUCACCCUGUGACAUACCUAUAACGUUGCCUCGGCGGGAACAGACGGCCCCGUAACACGGGCCGCCCCCGCCAGAGGACCCCCUAACUCUGUUUCUAUAAUGUUUCUUCUGAGUAAACAAGCAAAUAAAUUAAAACUUUCAACAACGGAUCUCUUGGCUCUGGCAUCGAUGAAGAACGCAGCGAAAUGCGAUAAGUAAUGUGAAUUGCAGAAUUCAGUGAAUCAUCGAAUCUUUGAACGCACAUUGCGCCCGCCAGUAUUCUGGCGGGCAUGCCUGUUCGAGCGUCAUUACAACCCUCAGGCCCCCGGGCCUGGCGUUGGGGAUCGGCGGAAGCCCCCUGCGGGCACAACGCCGUCCCCCAAAUACAGUGGCGGUCCCGCCGCAGCUUCCAUUGCGUAGUAGCUAACACCUCGCAACUGGAGAGCGGCGCGGCCACGCCGUAAAACACCCAACUUCUGAAUGUUGACCUCGAAUCAGGUAGGAAUACCCGCUGAACUUAAGCAUAUCAAAA
Molecule: ribosomal RNA, 526 nt
Filed under: Fusarium solani
Lineage: Eukaryota; Fungi; Ascomycota; Sordariomycetes; Hypocreales; Nectriaceae
Description: eukaryotic LSU rRNA
Rfam family: 5.8S ribosomal RNA (bases 149-302)
Source: RNAcentral